UACAGAGGGGGCAAGCGUUGUCCGGAUUGACUGGGCGUAAAGGGUCCGUAGGUGGUGCCACACGACCGGCGUGAAAGCCCCGAGCUUAACUCGGGCGGGCCGUUGGUGACGGUGGUGCUAGAGGGCGGCAGAGGUGGGUGGAAUUGCCGGUGUAGUGGUGAAAUGCGUAGAGAUCGGCAGGAACACCAAGGGGGAACCCAGCCCACUGGGCCGCGCCUGACACUGAGGGACGAGAGCGUGGGGAGCGAACCGG
This 253-nucleotide ribosomal RNA is filed under the name uncultured bacterium. Its description in RNAcentral is "partial 16S ribosomal RNA". It matches the Rfam family "Bacterial small subunit ribosomal RNA", at positions 524 to 776 of the family's 1533-position model. The record is from RNAcentral.